Molecule: unclassified non-coding RNA, 291 nt
Filed under: Hevea brasiliensis (rubber tree)
Lineage: Eukaryota; Viridiplantae; Streptophyta; Magnoliopsida; Malpighiales; Euphorbiaceae
Source: RNAcentral
AGUAGUCCUGGCAUUGGCUGAAAAGUAUGGCCGAUCUCCAGCUCAGAUCUUGCUCAGGUGGCAGGUCCAGCGGAAAGUGAUCUGCAUCCCCAAAAGUAUCACUCCUUCUCGAAUCCUUCAGAACAUCAAGGUGUUUGACUUCACCUUUAGCCCAGAAGAGAUGAAGCAGCUAAAUGCCCUGAACAAAAAUUGGAGAUAUAUUGUGCCUAUGCUUACGGUGGAUGGGAAGAGAGUCCCAAGGGAUGCAGGGCAUCCUCUGUACCCCUUUAAUGACCCGUACUGAGACCACAG